This 253-nucleotide ribosomal RNA is filed under the name uncultured bacterium. RNAcentral's name for it is "partial 16S ribosomal RNA". It matches the Rfam family "Bacterial small subunit ribosomal RNA", at positions 524 to 776 of the family's 1533-position model. The record is from RNAcentral.
GACGAACCACACAAACGUUAUUCGGAAUUACUGGGCUUAAAGGGUGCGUAGGCUGUGCGGAAAGUUGGGUGUGAAAUCCCCCGGCUCAACCGGGGAAUUGCGCCCAAAACUACCGUGCUUGAGGAAGACAGAGGUGAGCGGAACUUCGGGUGGAGCGGUGAAACGCGUUGAUAUCCGAAGGAACACCGGUGGCGAAAGCGGCUCACUGGGUCUUUUCUGACGCUGAUGCACGAAAGCUAGGGGAGCAAACGGG